UGCCCAGGCUGGAGUGCAGUGCUGCG
RNAcentral lists this non-coding RNA (26 nucleotides) under Homo sapiens (human). The record is from RNAcentral. Lineage: Eukaryota; Metazoa; Chordata; Mammalia; Primates; Hominidae.